This is a long non-coding RNA of Leptopilina boulardi, 318 nucleotides long. RefSeq lists it as uncharacterized. Lineage: Eukaryota; Metazoa; Arthropoda; Insecta; Hymenoptera; Figitidae. The transcript has 3 exons. The record is from RefSeq and is a predicted model, not a curated record.
CUCUCUCUCUCUCUAUCUUGGGUACCUUAUAUACUUUACGGUUAAACAGAUUUGUCAUUUAUGGCACACGACGGGGUGUCCAGUUCAAGACAACGUCCUGCCCCUGUCGCACAUCUUCCCCCCUUUCACCCCCACCCCGCCCACUAUUCCCUUUUUCGAUGACGCAACUGGGGUACAAUAGUACCCCAGAGAAAAUUCAAACUACGGCCCUGGCUUCGUGAGCUUAACUGUCAUGGCGGCACCCCAACUUUAAUUCAGUUUAAUUAUUAUAGAUGGAUGGAAGCGGAUAUUACACACACACUCGGAGUAGUAGACUUA